RNAcentral lists this ribosomal RNA (743 nucleotides) under uncultured bacterium. RNAcentral's name for it is "bacterial SSU rRNA". It matches the Rfam family "Bacterial small subunit ribosomal RNA", at positions 94 to 823 of the family's 1533-position model. The record is from RNAcentral.
AGCGGCGGAUGGGUGAGUAACACGUGGGGAACCUGCCCCUAAGUCUGGGAUACCAUUUGGAAACAGGUGCUAAUACCGGAUAAUAAAGCAGAUCGCAUGAUCAGCUUUUGAAAGGCGGCGUAAGCUGUCGCUAAGGGAUGGCCCCGCGGUGCAUUAGCUAGUUGGUAAGGUAACGGCUUACCAAGGCGACGAUGCAUAGCCGAGUUGAGAGACUGAUCGGCCACAUUGGGACUGAGACACGGCCCAAACUCCUACGGGAGGCAGCAGUAGGGAAUCUUCCACAAUGGACGCAAGUCUGAUGGAGCAACGCCGCGUGAGUGAAGAAGGUUUUCGGAUCGUAAAGCUCUGUUGUUGGUGAAGAAGGAUAGAGGUAGUAACUGGCCUUUAUUUGACGGUAAUCAACCAGAAAGUCACGGCUAACUACGUGCCAGCAGCCGCGGUAAUACGUAGGUGGCAAGCGUUGUCCGGAUUUAUUGGGCGUAAAGCGAGCGCAGGCGGAAAAAUAAGUCUAAUGUGAAAGCCCUCGGCUUAACCGAGGAACUGCAUCGGAAACUGUUUUUCUUGAGUGCAGAAGAGGAGAGUGGAACUCCAUGUGUAGCGGUGGAAUGCGUAGAUAUAUGGAAGAACACCAGUGGCGAAGGCGGCUCUCUGGUCUGCAACUGACGCUGAGGCUCGAAAGCAUGGGUAGCGAACAGGAUUAGAUACCCUGGUAGUCCAUGCCGUAGACGAUGAGUGCUAAGUGU